Ictalurus punctatus (channel catfish) is the source of this 5157-nucleotide long non-coding RNA. NCBI's taxonomy places the organism in Eukaryota, Metazoa, Chordata, Actinopteri, Siluriformes, Ictaluridae. The record is from Ensembl.
GUGUAAAGAAAAGAAAAAAACCUGAACGUGAUACUCGUCUCUCCUCAGUCAGAGACGCUGAAAAGUCCGGUUGUGAUCCUUCUCCCUUCAAAAUGGUUCCAGAAUCAAAAACGCUGCUGUUCUUCCCGAUGGUACUCGGGAACACCAUAAAUAUCCAUGUGGAGAUUUUGAGUCGGCUGAGGCAACGUCUACAGCUUCGUGAAGCGUAUGCAGAGAACCACGGUGACGUCAUCAUCGCUUUUGUCCCAGUUGUAUCUCGGGCAGGAACGGACAUUGAAGCUGCUCUUCAGAGGAUCCCGAGAACGGGUCAGCCUGUUGUUCUCAUGGUGCUCCACUUCACAUUUGAUGAGAAUUACAUGGCUCCAAACAGCACCUGGAACCUAGACAGGGAUGAUGUAUUUGCUGUGGAUUUGCUCUGUUAUGAAGACAUUGGACUGCUCAGAUCCCAACGCAAUGAUGAGGCAUUGAAAGCUGUCACCGAUCAUCUGAUCUCUAAAGGAGCUUCACCCAAUACCCAGGAACAAAAACACGCCUUUUCUCAAUCAAUGAAAGUAGGAAAUUCUUGGAUGUCCAAAGUAAGAUUGAGGAACGGUUGAAGAAACGCGUUCAGCUCCAUCAAGUGGAUUCAGAGGAUUAUUGUGAUGUCAUCAUGGCUUUUGUACCCAUUGUGUCCCGGGCUGGAACAGACAUUGAAGCUGCUCUUCGAAAUAUUCCAAGUAAGAGAUUUCCUUCGGUCAAUUAAGACCAUGUCCAAUAUCAUUAACUACUGUUUUAAAUACAGAAGACAAAACAGAACGCCAGCAUACAUUCCCAUAUUUGCCUGACAGACUGUUCUGAGAUAAUAUCUAGAACUGUAGUAUGCAGUUUAGAACGUAGCUUUAACCAGUUCUUUCAAUGUGAAGCGGUUAGUAGUCAAGAAUGCAUAAAAAAAUCAUACCUGUACUAUUUGAUAGUUUUUUGUGCUAAUUUAAAUACCAAGUUAAAUACCAAUAAAUACCAUUAAAUACUAAUACCAUGUUUAUUUUGGAUUUCUGCCACAUUCUACAUUAGUGAUGAAUGAAAGUAAAUGUGCAAUAUCUUCAAUAUUUAAUAUUCAAGAUUCUGCACUAUUUCUAGGGCCCUAUUUAAAUGUAAGCUAACGUAUGAUGUUGACCAUUAUCACGUAAUGGAGGUUUGCAGGUUAACCAGUUUAGUAAAACACAGGCAAACAAAUCCAGGAUUUAUAGGCAGGUUCGGUGUCAGAAACCAGGCGGAGAUCAGGCGAUGAACAAACAGACUGAAAUCGGCUAGGCAGAAACGUAAAUCGAUAAACUAUAACAAAGUCUAAGCACAGGCCAGGUGACGUCAGGUACACAGAGACAAAACGGAGCAUAUACUUCACAUUCAUGUUGUGAAUAAGAGUCUGUUUUAAAGAGCCAGCGAGUGUGUGUGUGGUCGAUUGAACGCAGGUGUGUUCAAACAGAAGCUCGGUGAUUGUGAUCGAGGCAGUGUAUGUGUGCUCUGGGGAGCGUAGUCCGCGGUGGCCAUGUUUUUAGGCCGCGGUGCCUGCUGGGAAGCGGAGCUUGCAGACCGAGAUGACCUGACAACCAUGUUCACUGCUUUGUACAAAAGGUCAGAUUGUCCUCAUGUCUGAUCUCUUCUACUGAAGCGUGUGAUCAGACGACACUCCGAUGGAUUUGAUCUAAAACGGAUCAUGAGGUUUUACACAAACCUGUGGAGUCAACGGCAGCUCAAGUGCACACGGUCACAAGCAAAAACGGGACGUACCAAAUACUAAGAAACUUCAUGUAAAUAUUUCAAAGCUUCUACUUUUCACUCAAAUUGUUGUCGAUAAUCUAAUUUCUAAUAAAAACUGUUGUAUUAAAUUAGAAAGAAUGCACAAUAGAGGCAGACUUUUGGACCCAACUGUAUGUAUUUAAAUAAUCACACUGAUGCAUUAUUCAAAUUAAUUUAAAAUAAAGUCAGAAGAACUGAUCUUUCAUUGUCCAUUAAUGCCAGUUAAAUUCAUUUCAUACCAGCCUCGGGCCUGCCGAGCUUUACCACCUCGGAUCUGGUGUUUACUGAGAAAUAGUGACGUAUUAACACGACACUAUCCUUUCUCUCUCUCAUUCACUCUCUCUCUCUCUCGCUCUCUCCCUCUCUCUCUCUCUCUCUCUCUCUCUCUAUCACUCUCUCUCUCUCUCCCUCUCUCUCUCGCUCUCUCCCUCUCUCUCUAUCACUCUCUCUCUCUCUCUCUCUCUCUCUCUCUCUCUCUCUCAGCAAAUCAGCCUGUCAUCCUCGUGGCGCUCCACCACACGUUUGAUGAAAAUUACAUUGCACCACAGAGCAAAAGGUGUGUGAAUAGGGAUGGUGUAUUUGCUGUAGACUUCCUCUGUCAUGAAGAUAAGGGACUGCUGGAAUGCUUGACCAAUGAGGAGGCACUGAAAUCCGUCAGUGAUUAUCUGGUCUCUAUGGGCCCCAGUACCCCGCUUAUACCAGUUCAUCCACGGUCAUCCCGAAGAUGCUGUAUCUGUUUGGGUGUCUCUGCUUUUGUUGUUGUUGUUGUUAUUGGGCUAGUUAUUCCCUUUCUCAUUCCGAAAAGUGACGGACAUGGUGACACUCAAACUACGGUGAUACCUCCUAUAACUGUAGCUACACAUCAGCAUAACAUAACUGAAACUACACAUCAGUCUAACAUAACUGUAACUACACAGCAGUCUAAGAUAACUGUAGCUACACAGCAGCGUAAGAAACGAUCCCUUCAGAGAGGCCGAGGCUAAUUCAUUAGUUUGGUGAACACCCAAGACUGUUGGGUUCGAGAUGAAAAGAUGGAGAUGAAACGAGAGUUUAGGAUUUCAGCUUUUAUUUCCUGGUGUUUACAUCUAGACGUGUUAAACAUAAAACAUACAACCUUUUGUAUCAGACCACCCACUUUUUAGGUGAGCAAAAGUAUAGGAACAGAUCAGUCUUGAAGUAAAUGAAAGUAAAUAACACUUAACAUUUGGCUGCGUGUCCCUUGCUUGCAAAAACUCAUCAAACUGCAUCAAUCCUGUGACUCACUGACACUUGUGUUGCUUUUCCAGGUAUUUACUGCAGCUUCUUUCAGUAGUUGUGUGUUUCGGUGGUUUCUCCCUUCAGUCUCCUCUUCAGGAGGUGAGGUGCUGAUCAGUUGGGUGAAGGUCUGGUGAUGGACUUGUCCAGUCUAAAACCUUCCACUUUCCCCCUGAUGAAGUCCUGUGUUGAGGUGGAAGUGUGUUUUGGAUCGUUGUCUUGCUGCAUGAUGAAGUUCCUCUGAUUCAUUCGGAUGGAUUUCUCUGUAAAUCUGCAGACAGAAUGUUCCUGUACAGUUCUGAAUUCAUUCUGCUGCUCCAUCAUGAGUUCAUCAAUAAAGAUUAGUGAGAAUGUUCCAAAAGCAGCCGUGCAAGCCCAAGCCAUGACACUACCUCCACCAUGUUCCACAGAUCAGCUUGUAUGUUCUGGAUCAUGAGCAGAUCCUUUCUUUCUCCACACUUUGGUCUUUCCAUCACUUUGGUAGAGGUUCGUCUUGUUCCAGAACUUUUGUGGAUCAUCUCUGUAUUUCUUUGCCAAUUCCAAUUUGACUUUCUGACUCGUACUGCUGAUGACUGGUUUGCAUCUUGUGGUACGGCCUCGAUAUUUCUGCUCUCGAAGACUUCUUCAAACGGUGGCUUGUGAUGCCUUCAAUUCUGCCCUGUGGAGCUUGUUGGUGAUGUCACUGACAGUUGUUGUUGGGUUUUUCUUCACAGCUCUCUGUCAUCACCUGCUGUUGUUUUCCUUGACUGACCCGUUCAGUGUCUGUUUCUCAGUACACCAGCGGUUUCUUUCAUUUUCAUGACAUUCCAAAUUGUUGUAUUGGCUUUACCCAGUGUUUCUGCAAAGGCUUUGAUUGAUUUUCCCUCUUUCCCCGCUUUAAAAUGGCUCGCUUUUCUCCCCUAGACAGCUCUCCGAUCUUCAUGUUGGCUUAUCCUUUAUAACAACAUAUGCAGUCUUCACAGGUGAAACUGAAGAGUAGAUGUUCAGAGCUAUUUAUUGUUUAAACAGUCGAUCUAACAGGACACGCCUGGGGAACAAGAAACACCCGUCAGUCACGUGUUCCAAUGUUUUUGCUCCCUUACAAAUUGGGUGGUCUGAUACAAACUGUGCUGUUCUGUAUCUAUAUAUAAAUACCAGGAAAUAAAAGCUGAAAUUCUAAACUCUCUUCUCAUAUUGCUCUUUUAAUAUCAAAAACAAAUGUCUUCACUCAACAGUGAAAACAAUUUAAUUGGCCUUGCCGUCCCAAUAUUUUUGCAGGGGGACUGUAACUGUGACUAUAUAGCAGCUUAAUAUAAUGGUAAUAAACAUUAACUUAACAUACUGGCGAAUAAACAGCAGCCUAAUAUAACUCUAAUUAUACAGCAGCCUGACAUAGUGGCAACGAAAUAGCAACGUAAUCUAACUAUAACUGCACAACAAACAUAAAAUAAACACUAAUCUUUCUUCUAAAUACUUUUUAAAAUUUCAUCAAUUCUUUUGAAUCAGCUUCAUUUUCAUUACAGUUAGAACUUUUCCUUUCAAACCUUAUGAGUAUUUUGACAUCAAUCAUUCUGCAAUCAUCCUAACAUAUACUUUAUAUACAUAUAAAGGAUUCUUUGAUUAAUAAAGGUUUCAUGUAGAACCUUACAACAGAGAUUUUCUGUUUCUGAGAGGGUUCUAGGUUGAACCACUGUUAGGGUGUAGUAAAUGAAGAAUUGCUUACACAAAACUAGUAUGACUUGAUAUUACCUUGUAAUUGUUCAUAAGUUUAAGAUUACCUCCACUAUAUUUAAUGUUACUCCACUAUAUUUUGUAGUUUCUAUAUUUAAUGCUUAUUAAAUGCACAGAACAUUAAAAUCGGAAACGAAGUCUGACAAGAAUGUAACAGAAUAUAACAAGACUGAAUCUGUGUGUAAAGACUUCAUGAAUGUUUGUUUCUAAUCAAUAAAAUUCUCAUACGCUUAUGCUAAAUGGUAAUGUGAUGUUUGUGAAAACUAAACUAAUACCACAAGACAAAAAACAAAAAAUCGCCACUUGAGUGCUUACAAUUUCCUCGGGGAUGGUGUUCUAGCAUUCAAUAUGGUCUCUACAACCUCACUUGCAAGACCAGAAUCUAUGAGCUGGUGCCCCUCAGGGGCCAGACCCACG